RNAcentral lists this ribosomal RNA (253 nucleotides) under uncultured bacterium. Its description in RNAcentral is "partial 16S ribosomal RNA". It matches the Rfam family "Bacterial small subunit ribosomal RNA", at positions 524 to 776 of the family's 1533-position model. The record is from RNAcentral.
UACGAAGGGGGCUAGCGUUGCUCGGAAUCACUGGGCGUAAAGCGCACGUAGGCGGACUCUUAAGUCGGUGGUGAAAUCCUGGAGCUCAACUCCAGAACUGCCUUCGAUACUGAGAGUCUCGAGUCCGGGAGAGGUGAGUGGAACUGCGAGUGUAGAGGUGAAAUUCGUAGAUAUCAAGCGGAACACCGGUGGCGAAGGCGGCCUUCUGGACAGUGACUGACGCUGAGACGCGAAAGCGUGGGGAGCAAACAGG